AGCGAACGCUGGCGGCAGGCCUAACACAUGCAAGUCGAACGGAUCCUUCGGGAUUAGUGGCGGACGGGUGAGUAACACGUGGGAACGUGCCCUUUGGUUCGGAACAACUCAGGGAAACUUGAGCUAAUACCGCAUGUGCUCUUCGGGGGAAAGAUUUAUUGCCAUUGGAGCGGGCCUCGUCUGAUUCGCUGGUUGGUGAGGUAACGGCCCACCAAGGAGACGAUCAGUAGCUGGUCGGUGAGGAUGAUCAGCCACACUGGGACUGAGACACGGCCCAGACCCCUACGGGAGGCAGCAGUGGAGAAUCUUGCGCGAUGGGCGAAAGCCUGACGCAGCCAUGCCGCGUAAAUGGUGAAGGUCGUAGGAUUGUAAAAUUCUUUGUGCGGGGACGAUAAUGACGGUACCCGCAGAAGAAGCUCCGGCUAACUACGUG
RNAcentral lists this ribosomal RNA (433 nucleotides) under uncultured bacterium. RNAcentral describes it as "partial 16S ribosomal RNA". It matches the Rfam family "Bacterial small subunit ribosomal RNA", at positions 29 to 507 of the family's 1533-position model. The record is from RNAcentral.